RNAcentral lists this ribosomal RNA (496 nucleotides) under uncultured bacterium. RNAcentral describes it as "partial 16S ribosomal RNA". It matches the Rfam family "Bacterial small subunit ribosomal RNA", at positions 28 to 507 of the family's 1533-position model. The record is from RNAcentral.
GAUGAACGCUGGCGGCGUGCCUAUACAUGCAGGUCGAGCGAACGGACGAGAAGCUUGCUUCUCUGAUGUUAGCGGCGGACGGGUGAGUAACACGUGGAUAACCUACCUAUAAGACUGGGAUAACUUCGGGAAACCGGAGCUAAUACCGGAUAAUAUUUUGAACCGCAUGGUUCAAAAGUGAAAGACGGUCUUGCUGUCACUUAUAGAUGGAUCCGCGCUGCAUUAGCUAGUUGGUAAGGUAACGGCUUACCAAGGCAACGAUGCAUAGCCGACCUGAGAGGGUGAUCGGCCACACUGGAACUGAGACACGGUCCAGACUCCUACGGGAGGCAGCAGUAGGGAAUCUUCCGCAAUGGGCGAAAGCCUGACGGAGCAACGCCGCGUGAGUGAUGAAGGUCUUCGGAUCGUAAAACUCUGUUAUUAGGGAAGAACAUAUGUGUAAGUAACUGUGCACAUCUUGACGGUACCUAAUCAGAAAGCCACGGCUAACUACGUG